AAACAGAAGAAUUCAGUCUAGGAGAAAAUCUUGAGAUAUAAUCAUCAUGCGCUUCGCAAUUCUUUUCGUUCUUAUUAUUUGCACUUUGGGACGGAAGUGUACCCCAAAUUCAGUUGGAGAAAUAAUAAUCUAAUACCACGUUUUCCUUUUGCCCUUUUAGCAAUGACAACGAAGGUGACACACGGGUGUCACCCAAAUACACCAGGGUGCCACACUACUCCCAAACCCAAAUAAAAACAAGAGAGAACGCUAUA
Drosophila takahashii is the source of this 254-nucleotide long non-coding RNA. RefSeq lists it as uncharacterized. The record is from RefSeq and is a predicted model, not a curated record. Lineage: Eukaryota; Metazoa; Arthropoda; Insecta; Diptera; Drosophilidae.